This is a long non-coding RNA of Salvia splendens (bonfire salvia), 532 nucleotides long. RefSeq lists it as uncharacterized. Lineage: Eukaryota; Viridiplantae; Streptophyta; Magnoliopsida; Lamiales; Lamiaceae. The record is from RefSeq and is a predicted model, not a curated record. The transcript has 2 exons.
CACAGUAGCUCUCAAUUCCUAUCAAAGACCAAAACAUAAGAAAAUUUAUUAAAUUACUCUCAUCCCUAACAUCUAUUUUCCCAAAAUAAACUCUAUCUCUUUCUCUAUGUUUUUUUUUCAGCAAGCAGUUCCUUUUUUUCUCAAAUUCUCAAAACAGCAAAUCUCAAACACGCUCAUUCCAAAAUCGGCGCCGCCUCUCGCCCCUCCGUCAAGGACCAACCGCUGCCGCUGACUCCAUCGCGCGCCACCGCCUCUGGCCUCCAAUGUUCGCCGCCGCUCCAGGCUGUCAGCUCUUCCGUAGGCAGUGUCUCGUCUCACAACCGGGCAUGAUAAUUCAGAAUUAUCCUAAAUGAAUGCAAGGAAUUCAAGGCUGGAAAUUGAUCGGUGAUUACCUUCUUAGGCGGCAGAAAACUCUCUUCUCCAACUCGGUUCUUUCUCUAAAUUUUAGUUCCCGAUUUUUCUUGGUAUUCAAUUUAUGUGUAGAAAGAUCGUGGGAUUGAUUGGAUAUAUAUAGGCAAAACUGAUAGAUAUU